AACGCAAUAAGUAUUCCGCCUGAGUAGUACGACCGCAAGGUUGAAACUCAAAGGAAUUGACGGGGGCCCGCACAAGCGGUGGAGCAUGUGGUUUAAUUCGAAGCAACGCGAAGAACCUUACCAGGUCUUGACAUCUCCUGAAGUAUCCAGAGAUGGAUAUGUUUCCUUCGGGAACAGGAAGACAGGUGCUGCAUGGCUGUCGUCAGCUCGUGUUGUGAAAUGUUGGGUUAAGUCCCGCAACGAGCGCAACCCUUAUCCUUUGUUGCCAUCGGUUAGGCCGGGAACUCAAAGGAGACUGCCGUUGAUAAAGCGGAGGAAGGUGGGGACGACGUCAAGUCAUCAUGGCCCUUACGACCAGGGCUACACACGUGCUACAAUGGCGUAUACAAAGGGAGGCGACCUCGCGAGAGCAAGCGGACCUCAUAAAGUACGUCUAAGUCCGGAUUGGAGUCUGCAACUCGACUCCAUGAAGUCGGAAUCGCUAGUAAUCGUGAAUCAGAAUGUCACGGUGAAUACGUUCCCGGGCCU
This 528-nucleotide ribosomal RNA is filed under the name uncultured Gammaproteobacteria bacterium. Its description in RNAcentral is "bacterial SSU rRNA". It matches the Rfam family "Bacterial small subunit ribosomal RNA", at positions 854 to 1381 of the family's 1533-position model. The record is from RNAcentral. Lineage: Bacteria; Pseudomonadati; Pseudomonadota; Gammaproteobacteria.